AGCGGACAGAUGGGAGCUUGCUCCCUGAUGUUAGCGGCGGACGGGUGAGUAACACGUGGGUAACCUGCCUGUAAGACUGGGAUAACUCCGGGAAACCGGGGCUAAUACCGGAUGCUUGUUUGAACCGCAUGGUUCAAACAUAAAAGGUGGCUUCGGCUACCACUUACAGAUGGACCCGCGGCGCAUUAGCUAGUUGGUGAGGUAAUGGCUCACCAAGGCAACGAUGCGUAGCCGACCUGAGAGGGUGAUCGGCCACACUGGGACUGAGACACGGCCCAGACUCCUACGGGAGGCAGCAGUAGGGAAUCUUCCGCAAUGGACGAAAGUCUGACGGAGCAACGCCGCGUGAGUGAUGAAGGUUUUCGGAUCGUAAAGCUCUGUUGUUAGGGAAGAACAAGUACCGUUCGAAUAGGGCGGUACCUUGACGGUACCUAACCAGAAAGCCACGGCUAACUACGUGCCAGCAGCCGCGGUAAUACGUAGGUGGCAAGCGUUGUCCGGAAUUAUUGGGCGUAAAGGGCUCGCAGGCGGUUUCUUAAGUCUGAUGUGAAAGCCCCCGGCUCAACCGGGGAGGGUCAUUGGAAACUGGGGAACUUGAGUGCAGAAGAGGAGAGUGGAAUUCCACGUGUAGCGGUGAAAUGCGUAGAGAUGUGGAGGAACACCAGUGGCGAAGGCGACUCUCUGGUCUGUAACUGACGCUGAGGAGCGAAAGCGUGGGGAGCGAACAGGAUUAGAUACCCUGGUAGUCCACGCCGUAAACGAUGAGUGCUAAGUGUUAGGGGGUUUCCGCCCCUUAUUGCUGCAGCUAACGCAUUAAUCACUCCGCCUGGCGAGUACGGUCGCAGGACUGAAACUAAAAGGAAUUGA
This 867-nucleotide ribosomal RNA is filed under the name Bacillus subtilis. RNAcentral's name for it is "bacterial SSU rRNA". It matches the Rfam family "Bacterial small subunit ribosomal RNA", at positions 65 to 913 of the family's 1533-position model. Lineage: Bacteria; Bacillati; Bacillota; Bacilli; Caryophanales; Bacillaceae. The record is from RNAcentral.